AUUGAACGCUGGCGGCAGGCCUAACACAUGCAAGUCGAGCGGAUGAAGGGAGCUUGCUCCUGGAUUCAGCGGCGGACGGGUGAGUAAUGCCUAGGAAUCUGCCUGGUAGUGGGGGAUAACGUCCGGAAACGGGCGCUAAUACCGCAUACGUCCUGAGGGAGAAAGUGGGGGAUCUUCGGACCUCACGCUAUCAGAUGAGCCUAGGUCGGAUUAGCUAGUUGGUGGGGUAAAGGCCUACCAAGGCGACGAUCCGUAACUGGUCUGAGAGGAUGAUCAGUCACACUGGAACUGAGACACGGUCCAGACUCCUACGGGAGGCAGCAGUGGGGAAUAUUGGACAAUGGGCGAAAGCCUGAUCCAGGCAUGCCGCGUGUGUGAAGAAGGUCUUCGGAUUGUAAAGCACUUUUAGUCGGGAGGAAGGGCAGUAAGUUAAUAUCUUGCUGUUUUGACGUGACCAACAGAAUAAGCAACGGCUAACUUCGUG
Molecule: ribosomal RNA, 484 nt
Filed under: uncultured bacterium
Lineage: Bacteria
Description: partial 16S ribosomal RNA
Rfam family: Bacterial small subunit ribosomal RNA
Source: RNAcentral